Molecule: ribosomal RNA, 292 nt
Filed under: uncultured microorganism
Description: partial 16S ribosomal RNA
Rfam family: Bacterial small subunit ribosomal RNA
Source: RNAcentral
GUGCCAGCAGCCGCGGUAAUACGAGGGGGGCAAAUGUUGUUCGGAAUCACUGGGCGAUAAGGGAGCGUAGGCGGGUUCUUAAGUUAGGUGUUUAAUCCCGGGGCCCAACCCCGGACCGGCACUUAAAACUGGGAAUCUUGAAUAGUGGAGAGGUCGGUGGAAUUGGGGGUGUAGCGGUGGAAUGCGUAGAGAUCCCCAAGAACACCAGUUGCGAAGGCGGCCGACUGGACACAUAUUGACGCUGAGGCUCGAAAGCAUGGGGAGCAAACAGGAUUAGAUACCCUGGUAGUCC